UAAAACUCGCUCUCGUGUUUUUGGAGUGU
This 29-nucleotide non-coding RNA is filed under the name Mus musculus (house mouse). The record is from RNAcentral. Lineage: Eukaryota; Metazoa; Chordata; Mammalia; Rodentia; Muridae.